GACGAACGCUGGCGGCGUGCUUAACACAUGCAAGUCGAACGGAAAGGCCCUGCUUUUGUGGGGUGCUCGAGUGGCGAACGGGUGAGUAACACGUGAGUAACCUGCCCUUGACUUUGGGAUAACUUCAGGAAACUGGGGCUAAUACCGGAUAGGAGCUCCUGCUGCAUGGUGGGGGUUGGAAAGUUUCGGCGGUUGGGGAUGGACUCGCGGCUUAUCAGCUUGUUGGUGGGGUAGUGGCUUACCAAGGCUUUGACGGGUAGCCGGCCUGAGAGGGUGACCGGCCACAUUGGGACUGAGAUACGGCCCAGAAUGCUACGGGAGGCAGCAGUGGGGAAUAUUGCACAGUGGGCGGAAGCCUGAUGCAGCAACGCCGCGUGCGGGAUGACGGCCUUCGGGUUGUAAACCGCUUUCGCAGGUGACGAAGCGUGAGUGACGGUAAUGGGUAAAGAAGCACCGGCUAACUACGUG
This 468-nucleotide ribosomal RNA is filed under the name uncultured bacterium. RNAcentral's name for it is "partial 16S ribosomal RNA". It matches the Rfam family "Bacterial small subunit ribosomal RNA", at positions 28 to 507 of the family's 1533-position model. The record is from RNAcentral.